UUGCUCUAUGUCCAUUGGAUG
RNAcentral lists this microRNA (21 nucleotides) under Picea abies (Norway spruce). RNAcentral's name for it is "pab-miR11569". The record is from miRBase by way of RNAcentral. Lineage: Eukaryota; Viridiplantae; Streptophyta; Pinopsida; Pinales; Pinaceae.